Molecule: small nuclear RNA, 23 nt
Filed under: Arabidopsis thaliana (thale cress)
Lineage: Eukaryota; Viridiplantae; Streptophyta; Magnoliopsida; Brassicales; Brassicaceae
Description: snRNA_04300
Source: RNAcentral
UGUAAAACGUAUAAACUUUCCUU